GUAGGUGGCAAGCGUUGUCCGGAAUUAUUGGGCGUAAAGCGCGCGCAGGCGGUUCUUUAAGUCUGAUGUGAAAGCCCACGGCUCAACCGUGGAGGGUCAUCGGAAACUGGAGAACUUGAGUACAGAAGAGGAAAGCGGAAUUCCACGUGUAGCGGUGAAAUGCGUAGAGAUGUGGAGGAACACCAGUGGCGAAGGCGGCUUUCUGGUCUGUAACUGACGCUGGGGCGCGAAAGCGUGGGGAGCAAACAGGGAUUAGAUACCCUGGUAGUCCACGCCGUAAACGAUGAGUGCUAAGUGUUAGGGGGUUUCCCGCCCCUUAGUGCUGCAGCUAACGCAUUAAGCACUCCGCCUGGGGAGUACGGCCGCAAGGCUG
This 373-nucleotide ribosomal RNA is filed under the name uncultured organism. RNAcentral describes it as "partial 16S ribosomal RNA". It matches the Rfam family "Bacterial small subunit ribosomal RNA", at positions 527 to 896 of the family's 1533-position model. The record is from RNAcentral.